Molecule: non-coding RNA, 72 nt
Organism: Ictidomys tridecemlineatus (thirteen-lined ground squirrel)
Lineage: Eukaryota; Metazoa; Chordata; Mammalia; Rodentia; Sciuridae
Source: Rfam
UGGGUUGUGGCUCAGUGGUAGAGCACUUAACUAGCAUGUGUGAGGCACUGGGUUCAAUUCUCAGCACCAUAU